GACGAACGCUGGCGGCGUGCCUAAUACAUGCAAGUCGAACGCACUCUCGUUUAGAUUGAAGGAGUUUGCUCCUGAUUGAUAAACAUUUGAGUGAGUGGCGGACGGGUGAGUAACACGUGGGUAACCUGCCCUAAAGUGGGGGAUAACAUUUGGAAACAGAUGCUAAUACCGCAUAAAACCUAACACCGCAUGGUGUAGGGUUGAAAGAUGGUUUCGGCUAUCACUUUAGGAUGGACCCGCGGUGCAUUAGUUAGUUGGUGAGGUAAAGGCUCACCAAGACCGUGAUGCAUAGCCGACCUUAGAGGGUAAUCGGCCACACUGGGACUGAGACACGGCCCAGACUCCUACGGGAGGCAGCAGUAGGGAAUCUUCCACAAUGGACGAAAGUCUGAUGGAGCAACGCCGCGUGAGUGAAGAAGGUUUUCGGAUCGUAAAACUCUGUUGUUGGAGAAGAAUGUAUCUGAUAGUAACUGAUCAGGUAGUGACGGUAUCCAACCAGAAAGCCACGGCUAACUACGUG
RNAcentral lists this ribosomal RNA (520 nucleotides) under uncultured bacterium. RNAcentral describes it as "partial 16S ribosomal RNA". It matches the Rfam family "Bacterial small subunit ribosomal RNA", at positions 28 to 507 of the family's 1533-position model. The record is from RNAcentral.